UUAGUAAUUUCGGGGUUAGUAAGUUGGUCAUGCCUCCGGUAUGUACUGGUCUUUACUGAUUCCUCCUUCUUGAUGAACUGUAAUGUCAUUAAUUUGGUGUUGCAGGGAAUCAGGACUGUUACUUUAGAAAAAUAAGAGUAGUUAAAGCAGGCAUACGCUUGAAUACAUUAGCAUGGAAUAAUGAAAUAGGUACGUUUGAUCCUAUUUUGUUGGUUUCUAGGAUUGACGUAAUGAUUAAUAGGGAUAGUUGGGGGCAUUAGUAUUCAAUUGUCAGAGGUGAAAUUCUUGGAUUUAUUGAAGACUAACUACUGCGAAAGCAUUUGCCAAGGAUGUUUUCAUUAAUCAAGAACGAAAGUUAGGGGAUCGAAGACGAUCAGAUACCGUCGUAGUCUUAACCAUAAACUAUGCCGACUAGGGAUCGGAUGAUGUUAUUUUUAAUGACUC
Molecule: ribosomal RNA, 444 nt
Filed under: fungal sp.
Lineage: Eukaryota; Fungi
Description: SSU rRNA
Rfam family: Eukaryotic small subunit ribosomal RNA
Source: RNAcentral